GUAAAUUUCAUUUUUCAACAAGAUUUGGUGUUAGAUGUUCGUAAAACCAUCCUAAACUUUGAGGUUAAUAACAAUCUUGUUGUUUUAAUACAAUAUUAGAUAUCAGGAUGUCUAAUGGAAUGUAUAAUGAGGCCUAGGAUCGGGACGAAUGCGGUUUGUAAUAAGGGUGAUGAUUAUCUUUUUUUAAGAUGAUAUUGACAAAAUAAAUUGAGGACUUUGAUUGCUAUGAAUAUUAGUUGAUGCAAUGGACUCUAAACACAACAAUGUGGCUAUAUAUUUUUUCCGAGUUCAAGCUAGUCUCGACUUCUCGCAAUGUGACGAUAAAACUUUUAAUAAUGUUACUUGCAAUCACUCACUAUUAUAGUUGCCCUACGAUACAAAUUGAUUAAUUUUCUCUUACUUAACCAAACUCAAGUAGACAUUUUUCCAAGUGGGAAAGAUACGGCAAUCCUAUCCAAGAGGAUAUGAAUUAUUUAUUGUCAUUAGAUUUUCUUGAUUAAUUUGUAAACAUUCUUUCCAUUUAUUUCGUUUUGGUUUCUUAAUUAUACUUAUCUAUGGA
This 559-nucleotide long non-coding RNA is filed under the name Olea europaea subsp. europaea. The record is from RNAcentral. Lineage: Eukaryota; Viridiplantae; Streptophyta; Magnoliopsida; Lamiales; Oleaceae.